Long non-coding RNA from Dendrobium catenatum, 553 nucleotides. RefSeq lists it as uncharacterized. The transcript has 3 exons. The record is from RefSeq and is a predicted model, not a curated record. Lineage: Eukaryota; Viridiplantae; Streptophyta; Magnoliopsida; Asparagales; Orchidaceae.
AGUGCUUGCAACUCGAGUAAGAGAGAACUCAGAAGGCAGGCAACAGUGAGACAGAUGAAGCCAACAAGGGAAGGAAGAAAACAAAAGGCAUGAAAUUGGCAGAAGCUUCAGCAGCUGAGGACUCACCGGCCUCCCACUACCUAUGAGAGGGACAUUCAAACCUGCAGGAAUGGUCGUCAAAGAGGAGGGACUGGAUGCGUUGGUUGGAGUUUGGUCGCUAGGAGUCUCCUGUGAAGCUGGAGCCAGUGCUCCCAGAGGCGACUGUGCUGCUGGUGUUUGUGUGCUUGAGGCAGCUGCCAUAACAACAAAUCUAAGGGUGAGGUCUUCUCCAAGGGAAAUGCAUUUGUAACCUAGACUAGAGAAGGAGAAAUAAAACAAACUGAAUAAGAAUUUUCUUCUUUGCAGGAAACAGUAUAACUGUCAAGGUUUAUUAGAGGUUCAUAUUAACAACAUUCCCUACAAAUUGUUUGAAUAUGCAAGAACAAUCACUUCAGGGAAUACUGUAUUGAUAUAAGAAGUACUUUGCGGUCAGAUUAUUGUUUUGUUUGGUGCA